GAAUAAAUGGUCUUUAAGUGGUAUUGGAA
RNAcentral lists this non-coding RNA (29 nucleotides) under Rattus norvegicus (Norway rat). Lineage: Eukaryota; Metazoa; Chordata; Mammalia; Rodentia; Muridae. The record is from RNAcentral.